Molecule: long non-coding RNA, 1874 nt
Organism: Cavia porcellus (domestic guinea pig)
Lineage: Eukaryota; Metazoa; Chordata; Mammalia; Rodentia; Caviidae
Exons: 4
Source: RefSeq, a predicted model, not a curated record
AGGGAUCGAGGCAUUAUGGAGGCAUUGUUAGUUCUCCUACAAGUUGCUGUCUGAGCUGUUGGUUCUCCUGGAGAAGCUUUGGUCUUCACAUCGAGCAUUGCUUCCUGGCUCCGGAGGGGAAGACAUGUGCUGCCUGGUCUCCAGGGUGAACUCCUCACGCUGCUUCCUGGCACGUUCCUGACUGUGCUUGUCGCCAGAGGAGCUCGGGGCCUCCGUGUCGCUGAGGACAGCUGUGGUUCCUUUCAGGACAGCCCCGCUCUUUGUUCAAGGGUAGUUUUUGAGAAAGAUGGAUGCAUAAUAACCCCAAUGACUGAGCAUUUUGCCAUUUACUUGGAAAGCACAACUGGACCUUGAGGAUAUAUAAUGAUGCUGAGCCUGGUAGAAAACUGGAGGACUCUAGUGAGUAUCUGAAAGCAGACAGAACAGAAGCUUUGGAAGAAAGCAGAAAGAGAAGUGAAUCAGAAGCAACUGAGAUGGCUCCUACACAGGCAGCAAGCCAGGAACAUGAUUGGACUGCUCCCUCAGGACCACAGUUUUUGCUCUACCACUGCGGGAAUGUGUGAUAGUGCUUAUGGUGCAUGUCUGUGUCACUGGGCCAGGACAACAUGAGCAGAGACACGCAUCACGUGAUUGUCCUUUGCUUUCAGCAGCCUGAGUUGUGUGUCAUUUAUUUCUCCCAUUCCCUAUGUUAAUUAGUGACACUGUUCAUCCAUUGUGUCCAUUCCCUGGAUGGGCCUGAAGUCACCAGCACACCCUGAAAUUUUCCCCAUAUUUUCACUCUAACACACAGACAAAGAAGGAGGUGUCAUACAACUGCAUAAAGUAAGGUUCAGUUUUAUUUAUAGAAAAAGGACAGGGAGAGAAAAAAGCCACUUUGAGAAGUAGGGUAUGAGAAUAUGGGUGACUGCAAAGAAAGCCAGGAAGGAGUCUUGCAGUUAUGUGAUGAAGUUCAUGGUUCCUCCUUCUGAAGGUAGUUUCAUCUGACAGGUUUGUCUUCCCCAUUGCUAAGGGUUUUGGUUUUAGUUUGGAAUUGACAUUGAAAAAAACAAGUACGUACAUUAUUAAAGGGAGACUUGAGAAUGCAUGACCCAGUACUCCUAAAUUCUCAAGAUCCUACCUGCAUUUUCUGACAUUAAGUGGGUUCCCAUCUGUCCUGAGAGAGCCACAAUUCAGUGCUUCCUCAUAAAAGAGUGAAACUUCUCCUGACAGUGCUAUAAAAUUGCGAUUCACUAUUAGCAAAUGUGGCUAGUUUUUAAGACGCCAAAUGGAUAGGUCGGAUCUUAGGAUGGUCUCAGACACUUGCGUGGGGUCCCAGGAAAGUACACUGCGUGGAAACCAGAGAGUGACAGGCGUCAGCCACUAAAUGAGUGUAUGACACCACCACAGACUUCCACGGAGAGGUGUCCAGGAUGUCAGAAACAUGAUAGUUGAUGAAAUACUGUCUGUUUUCAACUGAUGUGCACUGUGGACAUCAACCAAGAUGAGGAUUUCCACAAUAUUCUAAAAGGUGAGAUUGCUGCAGAGGUGGUUCUCACACCUGAGCUUCAGGCACUCCAGACCAAACCUGGCUGCAGCAUCCAGAAGUUCAGGUGGCAUCAUCCCUAGUUUUGGUGCCUUUCUAAUGUAAACAAAGUAUAUCAUUUCCUUAAAACUUCAGGUUCCGUGUCACUGAUUUCAACAUGAUUCUUUUUGCAUGCUUGCAUUUCAUGUUCAAACAAAGCCAUGAAAACUGAAGAGCAGGCUGCUAACAUUGCUUUGUGAGCCUGGAAUUCCUGUCCAGCCACACACAAGCAACAGUCUGUGAAGUGGGAAUGCUUCCAUAGCCCUCCUAGAUCUUCUGCCAAGCAGCCCUCAGGAACCUUCACAUUUUUCAG